GACGAACGCUGGCGGCGUGCUGAACACAUGCAAGUCGAGCGGAAAGGCCCUUCGGGGUACUCGAGCGGCGAACGGGUGAGUAACACGUGAGUAACCUGCCCUAGGCUUUGGGAUAACCCCGGGAAACCGGGGCUAAUACCGGAUAUGACCUGGUGCCGCAUGGUGUUGGGUGGAAAGUUUUUUCGGCCUGGGAUGGGCUCGCGGCCUAUCAGCUUGUUGGUGGGGUGAUGGCCUACCAAGGCGAUGACGGGUAGCCGGCCUGAGAGGGCGACCGGCCACACUGGGACUGAGACACGGCCCAGACUCCUACGGGAGGCAGCAGUGGGGAAUAUUGCACAAUGGGCGGAAGCCUGAUGCAGCGACGCCGUGUGAGGGAUGAAGGCCUUCGGGUUGUAAACCUCUUUCAGCAGGGACGAAGCGUGAGUGACGGUACCUGCAGAAGAAGCGCCGGCCAACUACGUG
RNAcentral lists this ribosomal RNA (462 nucleotides) under uncultured bacterium. Its description in RNAcentral is "partial 16S ribosomal RNA". It matches the Rfam family "Bacterial small subunit ribosomal RNA", at positions 28 to 507 of the family's 1533-position model. The record is from RNAcentral.